CCGCCCUUGUAUCCCCUCUCACACUCAGAGACUCUCUAACCCUUCGUCUCCUUAGAACCUUCUGGUUCUCUCAUGGCCUUCAUCGCCAUACCAGCUCACUCUUCCCUCACUCAUCUCGAUUUUCAGCAACCAUGGCAUCCCUAUAUCGUGGUUUCCUCUCUCAAGCUUGAAGCCUAGCAGCUUCCGCCAUGGAAGACGGUAACUGAAGCUCUAUUUGGGGUCUAUUUCCGGUAUUUCUCCAGUGAUCUUUGAACGAUGAUGCCUUCUACGGUAUUGUAUACGAGUUUCACAGCCAGGUUCUUCGUUUCCCUAACCUUACUCCUCUCGAUUUCCAGUAACCAUGGCAUCCAUAUAUCGUGGUUUCCUCUCUCAAACUUGAAUCCUAGCAACUUCCACCAUGGAAGACGGUCACUGAAGCUCUAUUUGGGGUCUCUUUCCGGUGUUUCUCCGGUGAUCUUUGGACGAUGAUGCCUUUUACGACAUUGUAUAUGAGUUUCCAAGCCAGGUUCUUCGUUUCCCUAAUCUAUUUGAAAACCAUAAUUUUUCUCAUCAAUCUCGAC
RNAcentral lists this long non-coding RNA (560 nucleotides) under Nicotiana benthamiana. RNAcentral describes it as "long non-coding RNA (NBEN_LNC005658)". Lineage: Eukaryota; Viridiplantae; Streptophyta; Magnoliopsida; Solanales; Solanaceae. The record is from RNAcentral.